ACGAUAGUAACCGAAACGCGGGUGAUCUACGAUGUUUUCGAAAAGCAACUGGUGAUAAAGUCACGUUACAGCUCACGGUAUACAGGAUGUCUGCAAGUGUAAAUAUGAGAUUUCUUAGAAAUCGUGCCAUUUUUUCUGGACACCCGAUAUCGAUCAGCCUGGCCGAUAUCCGUACGUGCGAGCCACGAAAACCAAUAUAAAAACCAUGCAGCGCGAUAAGAUGAAAGUGCUCGCGCCUGGCUACAGGUGCAUCCAACUUUGGCAAUGAAUGCUAAAUCACAAGAAGCGAAAAAAUCGAUCGAACACGAUCUCGGUUACGACCUGAAUUUAGAACGAGGGGAAUGUCAUUUACUCUCUAGAAGUCUCUGGAAACACUUUACAUCACGUGUGAAAGUGUCACUUAAAGUAGAUUAUAUUAAUAUCUUAAAUCUUUUAGGAAUGACCUAAUGUCGAC
Bombus terrestris (buff-tailed bumblebee) is the source of this 454-nucleotide long non-coding RNA. RefSeq lists it as uncharacterized. NCBI's taxonomy places the organism in Eukaryota, Metazoa, Arthropoda, Insecta, Hymenoptera, Apidae. The record is from RefSeq and is a predicted model, not a curated record. The transcript has 2 exons.